CCUACGGGUGGCAGCAGUGAGGAAUAUUGGUCAAUGGGCGGGAGCCUGAACCAGCCAAGUAGCGUGAAGGAUGACAGCCCUAUGGGUUUUAAACUUCUUUUAUCAGGGACUAAAGUGCCCCACGUGUGGGGUUUUGUAUGUACCUUAUGAAUAAGCAUCGGCUAAUUCCGUGCCAGCAGCCGCGGUAAUACUGAAGAUGCGAGCGUUAUCCGGAUUUAGUGGGUUUAAAGGGAGCGUAGUCGGUUCCAUAAGUCAGCGGUAAAAGCGUGCGGCUCAACCGUACCGUGCCGUUGACACUGUGGGACUUGAGGAUGCGCAGGGGACAUGGAAGUCGUGGGGUAGCGGUGAAAUGCUUAGAGAUCACGAAGAACUCCGAUCGCGAAGGCAUUGUACCGGAGCAAGACUGACGCUGAGGCUCGAAAGUGCGGGUAUCAAACAGGAUUAGAUACCCUGGUAGUC
This 459-nucleotide ribosomal RNA is filed under the name uncultured bacterium. RNAcentral's name for it is "partial 16S ribosomal RNA". It matches the Rfam family "Bacterial small subunit ribosomal RNA", at positions 338 to 795 of the family's 1533-position model. The record is from RNAcentral.